GCUGAAUUGCAAUCUCAAUUAAUUAAUUAAGGAUGAAUUAAAGAUUAGCAUGACAAAUCUUGCAUGGGACAAGUAUUGAAAACUGCAUACCAAUAUAAGGAGUGCAGUCCUAAAUUUUAUAGUCAAUGACAUAAAAAAGUAGCAUCCCAGUGUUUCAAUCUGGCGUCGUUGUUGUGUUUGAACCGAGUCGUCGAUCUUCCUAAUAUCUACCCAC
This 214-nucleotide long non-coding RNA is filed under the name Elaeis guineensis (African oil palm). RNAcentral's name for it is "long non-coding RNA (EGUI_LNC003247)". Lineage: Eukaryota; Viridiplantae; Streptophyta; Magnoliopsida; Arecales; Arecaceae. The record is from RNAcentral.